AGACCUAAAUUGGUCUUUCAGCCAAAUUUACUAAUACUAAGUAAAAAUUACUUAGUAUUAGUAAAUUAUGCCCCUACUCGCUAUACCGCGAGUAGGGGCAUGUCCUGUGGCCUGUGGCUGCUCACUAUUAAAAAAAAUAAAAGAAAAAAAAGGGCAGCGGGUGGGGGCCCUAAAUUAGAAUAAGGGUGGGGACCUAUUGACCCCCACAGCCCCCACCCCUGAGCGGCGGAGGGGCCCUAAAGUAAAAUAAAGGGGGGAACCUAUUGUCCUCCCCCCGGCCCCCACCCCUGAGCGGCGGGUGGGGGCCCUAAAUUAGAAUAAGGGGGGGACCUAUUGCCCCCUGGCCCCACCCUGAGCAGUGGGUGGGGGCCCUAAAUUAGAAUAGGGGGACACAC
This is a non-coding RNA of Pelobates cultripes (western spadefoot toad), 395 nucleotides long. The record is from the annotation of a GenBank genome assembly. NCBI's taxonomy places the organism in Eukaryota, Metazoa, Chordata, Amphibia, Anura, Pelobatidae.